This 48-nucleotide non-coding RNA is filed under the name Schistosoma mansoni. Lineage: Eukaryota; Metazoa; Platyhelminthes; Trematoda; Strigeidida; Schistosomatidae. The record is from RNAcentral.
AUCCAGCUAGCGAGUCGCAAAUAGGACGAAACGCGCGUCAAACUAGAU